UACGAAGGGGGCGAGCGUUGUUCGGAAUCACUGGGCGUAAAGCGUGCGUAGGCGGUUAUUUAGGUUAGAAGUGAAAGCCCAGGGCUCAACCUUGGAAUUGCUUUUAAAACUACAUAACUCGAAUUUGGGAGAGGAUAGCGGAAUUGUCAGUGUAGCAGUGAAAUGCGUAGAUAUUGACAGGAACACCAGUGGCGUAAGCGGCUAUCUGGGCCAACAUUGACGCUGAGGCACGAAAGCGUGGGGAUCAAACAGG
Molecule: ribosomal RNA, 253 nt
Filed under: uncultured bacterium
Lineage: Bacteria
Description: partial 16S ribosomal RNA
Rfam family: Bacterial small subunit ribosomal RNA
Source: RNAcentral